UAUGUUAUCAGUAUUUUAGGGCGAGGUUUCACAAUCCAUUCUAUAGAUACUUUUUUGGAUUGAUUUGGUGGUCUCUAAUUGAAUCAAAGAGAGGUUUAUGAAGUAGUAAGCUUUUUCUUUGUCUCUGAUCGUUAUUUCCAAUCCUCUUUAGGUCAUGUCACACAACAAGGAGAGACGAUCAAAACGUGACGAAAAACUUGACAAAAAGUCCAUGGCCAUGGAGGAGCUGAAGGCCGAGCGCGAGAAGAAGAAGAACAGAACAGCUGAACUGCUGUCCAAACGUCAGCCUCUGAAGACCAGCGAGGUUUACUCCGACGAUGAGGAGGAAGAGGAGGAAGACGACGACAAGUCUUCCGUC
This is a long non-coding RNA of Notothenia coriiceps (black rockcod), 358 nucleotides long. RefSeq lists it as uncharacterized. The record is from RefSeq and is a predicted model, not a curated record. Lineage: Eukaryota; Metazoa; Chordata; Actinopteri; Perciformes; Nototheniidae. The transcript has 2 exons.